UUUUGCCUCCCUACAUUGGCCAUCCAAUCAGAGUAGUCCUUGUUUAUCAAAUAAGUGGAUCCACAUAUGGGCAUGUCACCAAAACAGAGCCAAUCCAAGAUUUUCUGACAACUGAAAUUGAUGUUGGCAUAAAGAGAAUCUUUUUGUUUGUUUAUUUUUCCUGGAUUCACAGGCUGUAGGAUGACGCAUGAUGCAAGUCUGAAGUUGUAUGUGGCCAUCUUUGCCACCACAUUCAGAAAGCUUACCUGAGAAUGAAGUCAACACUGGAGAGAAAGAGAAAGAAAGAGGGAGAACAUAUCAGAAUCUCUCCACAAUGGCAACAAAGAUGGUCACUAGCAAGUCCAAGCCUCCAUUCUCUUUAAAACUUGCAAUCCUUGAGGACAAAGAAAAACGAUCUUUUUUUUCCAAUAUCUAUGUUACUUCUAAAAGAAGGUAUUAAGGAAAGCCUGUAUGAAAUUUCAUUCAUCAGUCAAGACCAUACUGGCCUUGAAUAAAAUUUAUAAGCAGUUUUUUUUUUUUUUUUUUUUUUU
Molecule: long non-coding RNA, 530 nt
Filed under: Homo sapiens (human)
Lineage: Eukaryota; Metazoa; Chordata; Mammalia; Primates; Hominidae
Description: HSALNT0271330
Source: RNAcentral